RNAcentral lists this transfer RNA (71 nucleotides) under Chelonus formosanus. RNAcentral's name for it is "tRNA-Tyr". The record is from RNAcentral. Lineage: Eukaryota; Metazoa; Arthropoda; Insecta; Hymenoptera; Braconidae.
AGUAAAGUGUCUGAUUUAAGUAAUAAAUUGUAAAUUUAUUUAAAAGAUAUAUAAAAUUAUCUUCUUUACUA